CCUACGGGAGGCAGCAGUGGGGAAUAUUGCGCAAUGGGCGAAAGCCUGACGCAGCGACGCCGCGUGAGGGAUGAAGGUUUUCGGAUCGUAAACCUCUGUCAGCAGGGAAGAACGGUCACUGUGCUAAUCAGCAGUGAAUUGACGGUAUACGCACAGGAAGCACCGGCUAACUAUGUGCCAGCAGCCGCGGUAAUACGGAGGGGGCGAGCGUUAAUCGGAAGUACUGGGCGUAAAGCGCGCGUAGGCGGUAUGUCAAGUCAAGGGGGAAAUCCCAGAGCUCAACGUGGGAACUGCCUUUGAAACUGGCAAACUGGAGUGUGGGAGAGGUAAGUGGAAGUGCAGGUGUAGGGGUGAAAUCCGUAGAUAUAAGGAGGAACACCAGUGGCGAAGGCGGAUUGCUGGACAGUAACUGACGCUGAGGCGCGAAAGCGUGGGGAGCAAACAGGAUUAGAUACCCCGGUAGUC
Molecule: ribosomal RNA, 465 nt
Filed under: uncultured bacterium
Lineage: Bacteria
Description: partial 16S ribosomal RNA
Rfam family: Bacterial small subunit ribosomal RNA
Source: RNAcentral